GGGUUGAUACCCAAGCGGUCAAAGGGGACGGAUUGUAAAUCCGUUAGCUAAGCUUACGUUGGUUCGAAUCCAACUUGACCCA
RNAcentral lists this transfer RNA (82 nucleotides) under Karenia mikimotoi. Its description in RNAcentral is "tRNA-Tyr". It matches the Rfam family "tRNA". From Rfam's summary of the family: Transfer RNA (tRNA) molecules are approximately 80 nucleotides in length. Their secondary structure includes four short double-helical elements and three loops (D, anti-codon, and T loops). The record is from RNAcentral. Lineage: Eukaryota; Dinophyceae; Gymnodiniales; Kareniaceae.